Molecule: long non-coding RNA, 239 nt
Organism: Herpailurus yagouaroundi (jaguarundi)
Lineage: Eukaryota; Metazoa; Chordata; Mammalia; Carnivora; Felidae
Exons: 3
Source: RefSeq, a predicted model, not a curated record
CAGGAACUACCAGCUAUGGUUUUCAUGCAGGAACCACAAUGCCAGAUCCCCACAGCUCAUCUUUUCAUCUUGGUUUUGCACAGAAGAAGCAAAUGUACUUGGUGUGCUGGCUUUUUUCCAUCUUCUUCACCAUUUUCCUGAGGGAGGCACCGUAAUGGGUCCCGUAUUUACGGACAAUUCUGACCUCCUUGGUGGGUUUAGCCAUGUUGCUGCAAACAAGAGAUGGGAAGAGCACACUC